UACAGAGGUCUCAAGCGUUGUUCGGAGUCAUUGGGCGUAAAGGGUGCGUAGGCGGCGCGGUAAGUCGGGUGUGAAAUCUCGGAGCUUAACUCCGAAACUGCAUUCGAUACUGCCGUGCUUGAGGACUGGAGAGGAGACUGGAAUUUACGGUGUAGCGGUGAAAUGCGUAGAUAUCGUAAGGAAGACCAGUGGCGAAGGCGGGUCUCUGGACAGUUCCUGACGCUGAGGCACGAAGGUCAGGGGAGCAAACGGG
RNAcentral lists this ribosomal RNA (253 nucleotides) under uncultured bacterium. RNAcentral's name for it is "partial 16S ribosomal RNA". It matches the Rfam family "Bacterial small subunit ribosomal RNA", at positions 524 to 776 of the family's 1533-position model. The record is from RNAcentral.